GCAGGUCUGUCAGAGUGACUGUGUAGUGACUGUAGAGACCCAGGAAUAUAAUAACGGUAGCAGGUCUGUCAGAGUGACUGUGUAGUGACUGUGUAGUGACUGUAGAGACCCAGGAAUAUAAUAACAGUAGCAGGUCUGUCAGAGUGACUGUGUAGUGACUGUAGAGACCCAGGAAUA
Non-coding RNA from Oncorhynchus mykiss (rainbow trout), 177 nucleotides. The record is from RefSeq and is a predicted model, not a curated record. NCBI's taxonomy places the organism in Eukaryota, Metazoa, Chordata, Actinopteri, Salmoniformes, Salmonidae.